AUAUAUUUCCUUUUUUUGAAUCUCUUUGGAAUUUGUGAUUUGCUUUAGACAGUCGACCAAUUUAAAAAAAGAAAACCAUAGACUUUAUCUUUGGAGAAAUUCUAGGAGGGUCUCCUUUAUGAACCAAAAAUACUCUCUUCCCCUGAACUUUCCAUCUCCCCUCUUCUCAGGGUAUUGCCCUGACCCUGGUGCCUGAGUGCAAACUUUUCUGAUUAAAAGCAAAAUGCCAGUGGCUGCUUUGGUUACUUUAAAUCCUCUGUCGCCUAUUUUUAUCUUGCUUGUAUGAUCAUGAGAUAACAAAGCCAUGAUCCAUAGCACCUGAGAAGACAAUAUUUGGGGACGAGGAGCUAGUGCAUGCUGGAAAGAAGGGCAGACGAGGAAGAAAAGAAGCCACAGUGAGGAGGAGAACUUUUUAGCUGAUGAAUAAGCCUGAUGGGAGGAGAAACCAGGAACUUGCUUUGCAAAAUCUUACUACAGCAGCACAAAAACUUCUAGAAUCUGGAACGGGAGAAAAUCCGUCCACUAGAACUUCAACGAAGAGGAGACCCAUGCAUACCCCCAGAGAGAGUCUGUGUUUUCUUUUUUCUUUUUCUGUGAUAUACCCAAGACCCACCUUGGACUCAAGGGACACAAAUUUGGUCUUCUUCAGGACAGGUUUACAGACAUGUUUCUGAGGGCAUUUUGCUCAUCCCUUGGAAGUGGACAUUCCCUCCUAUUCCAUGUUUCCAGUUGUCUGAAGGAGGGAUGAGUGUCAGCACCCCACAUCUGUGGCGAAGGAAGAUGAGAAGAAGCUCUUGCUCUCCAAAUAGCAUCCCUGUUUCUAGGUGGGAUGCAUAUUAUAUACUUUCCUCCCAAGGUCUGUACAGAAGCUGGAGAUGUCCUGGGCCACCUGGAUGCAUGGAGACAUUGGAGAAAACAGAACCAUGAGGUCAGUGGAGUUUGUGACCAGAGAAGAAAGGGAGAUGAGAGAAUUUUGUUUGUGAAAGAACAGACUUGAUUUUGCCAGAGGACUGCAUGACUUCUCCUCUGAUAGCAGCACAUGAACCUUUGGUUUUAAGAGCUAGCAGGGUUUGGGUGCCUUCCGUGGGGAAGUUAGCCAGGACUACCAGCCCUAAAUCUAAGACAAAGGACAUGUUGCAAUCAGAUAUCAAUUCUGAAGGAAUAUAACAUUUUUUGUUCUUAUAAUAAGAAUUCAGAUAUUCAUUGAUAGUUGCGAUGAGUGGGAUGGGACAAAAGACACCUGAUGUUUUCCUUCAUCUCUUCUCUAGGAUAGGAACUUUCUUAAAUGCAGAGAGCCAAAUAAGCUGUUGUUUGGAUUGUUUUCUUUUGCUUUUAAAAGUUAUUUUACUUUUGCACCCAUUUUCUAUCUUCUCUAAUGUUUUUCAAGACUGAUAUGUCCUUUAACAUGUGUUUAUUUUGAAAAGGUGGUUGUUUAUAAUUCUGGAAAUAAAUUUGAACUUUGGAAUUAAAAUAUCUGGUGUGUUAUCCUGACAUAUCCCUGAUGACCUCCACUUGAGGCUCUGCAGAGCUCAUCACAGCACAGUGUGGAGCAGGAGAAACCCCUGCAUUCAGCAAAGGAGGGAGUUUUCCACAGGGGGCCCCUGUCCAUGAUGUUUCCCCCUCUGGAGGUACAGAGAAUUAGAGAAUUAGGAUCCUCAAGAGAGUUUGAGUGUGAAAUGGUGAUUGCAUGUAUGCAACUUCAAACUCUGUAAGAAUCCAGCUCCCAUUCAAAAUGUGGGAUGUUUCCCAGGUAAAUUUGUUGCUUGUUUUGGGUUUUAAGUUAUCCCCUAUUCCUGGUAUCUCUGCCUGAAGUGUUCUUAGGGCUCAGGUUACCCAGUAGGGCUUGGAUGGUAGUAUUUCCCCCUUUCAGGGAUUGGCCCAGAGAUUUUUUCCUCCAAGUUCAUGGGUAGGGAAAAUGCAAUGAAACUGUGCUGAUGCUGCCUGUCCCCUUAAUCUACAAAAGUAAUUAAUCUAUUUUUUAUGUGGUCAUUUUGACAAAUUUGUCAUAACCUAUGGGGCAUUUUAAUUUAACCUAAAGCCAAACCAUUAAGUUUUUAGACAUUUUUCACCCCACCACUCUAACCUAUCCAAACCCUAGGACUUUGUCCUUUACUUCAUACUAUUCUAUCACUUCCAUGGGUUAUUAUGAAGAAACGUCUGUAUAUAGUACUGGUUAAUUGAAAAAAAGGACUGUUUUGGGGCACCUGCGUGGCUCAGUUGGUUAAGCAUCCAACUCUUGAUUUCGGCUCAGGUCAUGAUCUCAGGAUUGUGAGAUCAAGCACUGCAUUGGGCUCCGUGCUGAGCUUGGAGCCUGUUUGAGAUUCUCUCUCUCCUUCUCUCUCUGCCCACUGUCUCACUCUCUCAAACAAAACAAAACAAAACAAAACAAAACAAAACAAAGAAACAAAACAAAACAAAACAAAAACCCCAAAACUGUUUUAUCAUUUUGGCUUGGUUAGUUGGGUAGUGCCCAGAUGUCUGCAUUAAAUGUCUUGUUUCCAUCCUUGCUACAAACUUAAGUCCCCAGGGUUUGUGCAGGGAUGCCACCCUGCCUUCCCUAAGGACUGUCACCAGAGUUGGAGUCUGUCUGAGAUGGUUGGCAACAACUGGAUCAACUGAGCUGUUCCCAGAGCUCUGAGAGCAGAGAAAUGUCAGGAGCAAGAAGUAGAUGAUAGAAAUCUGGAUUUUGGAGAGACCCAAGUAUGGCAUUCAUCAGUGAUGAUGUGGGAGAGUGGAGUGAUGAGUAGCGAGAAUUUCAGCCUGAGUAAAAGGUCAGCAGCACACCAGGUUUCUGAAGGUGAAAUCAUGUGGAACAUUGGGCUGGACUCCAUUUUGGACAACCAAAAUGUUGAAUUCUGGCAUAGAUGAAGUACAUGGAAAUCAAGAAAAUGGAUGCCAGGGGGCCAAGGACCAAUUUCAUUGGCAUUAGAUUCUAACCAACUCUAUUACCACUUCAGAAAUAAGAUUCAUCAACGCACUGAGUGUGGCCCAAGAUUUUUGCCUACCUCCUACCCACUCAGCAAGGAGCCACAGUGAGUUUGUGGUAAUACUAGCUAUCCACGUGUCUUCCAUGAGCAUUUGCAAAAUGAUGAUAAAUUACCCAAAUUGUGGCAAAGUCUCUGUACCUAUUGCAAGACCUAGGGGUAGGAAUGUGUGUUAGCUAAAGCAAUCCAUAACAAUUUUGAAGUUACUGGCACAUGUUAAGAAACAGAGUAUCUUGAUCCUUCUGAGAAAAUUUUGCAAAUGUUCUGCUAUAAUUGUAUGUAAAUCUGAGACUUGGCAUCAGCAUAUUUCCUCUUAGCAAAUGUGUCUGAAUAAAUUGAUCCACCUUGUCUAAGACAGAAAGGGUAUCUCCAACCAUUAGUAUUCUGCCUCUGGGUUGGUUUUUUUCCAGCCUGGUGUAAUUUCAGGCAGCAGGCCAUUGUUCCAAAUGCAUUUCUGAUUGAUUUUCUGCCUAACAACUGACAACUUAACUUUUCAGCAGGAGGUCUGAGCUCAGGCCUCCUUUUUAAUGCUUCAGAGUGUAAUAUGAUCCUGAUGGAUGGUUCUGAAGAACAACUGGCUUUUGUGAUGGAAAAGAAAGUGUAGGACUUGGUUCCCAAACACACGGAUUUCUUCCAUAUGGAUUACAUUACUAUAAAUUAGAGAAGGGUAGGGGUGAGGAAGAGGUGGUUGCUUUUGUGGGAAAGGCCAGGAUUUAAUACUAUUAUCCUCUUGCUUAUAAUUUAAAGAGUUCUGCUCUCACUUGAAUCCACUGAUUUAAGAAAGUGUUUGGUGAAAGUGGGCGCAAUCUACUUGAUUCCUUAGGUAACUUUACAAAAGGCAUUUAAAAAUCCCAUUUUAAAACUUGAUUCUAACCAGAAAUCAAGAGUCACAAUCUGCUUAGUGGUCAGUUUUGCUGCUUAAUGAUACAAUUUGUAUUUUGUUUUAAAUAGAUUUGAUCCUAGAGAUUUGAUUCUAAUUGAGCAGGCUACUGUGGGUUCCUGAGGAUUUCUCUAACAAGAACAGUUGUGUUUGGUAUGUGCAUCUGAGUCGUUCGUGAAGGAUGGAAACUUCUUGGACAAACCUCCAAGUCAAUCAAAAGGAUUACCAGGAUUUUAAUCCCAAAUAUCAAAUCCCCAGCUGUUGGUAAAAAUGUAUGAUCUAUGGUUCUAAAUGACCACAGUUGAGUGACACUUUGAUUUUCACACAGGCUCCUUUUAAGUGGCAGAUGGUAUUCCAGUUAGUUUGACUGUAAGUUCACUGAAGUCUGGGUUCUUCUUGGGUGGCAAACCUAGGAGAAUCUAUAUAAUGGCAAACUCACAUUAAUUGGUACCAGUGGAUUUGCAGAGCAAAGUCUAAUUUCCUUGGCCUUGUUCAUUCUGCUUCUCAGCUUUUCCCUAUUUUCUUUCCAUUUCUGAAUCCUUCCAAGUCUACCUCAUAAUCUACUCUGGGGUCCUCAAGGUGACUUUGACCCCAAUCAUCUCUUCUAUUUCUUACCUCCUAAUGCAUUUGUGGUGUGUACCAUCCAACUCAGUUUAUAAUAAUAUUAUGUUUCAUAUAUUUCUCUUAUUAAUAUAUGUACAUUGGCUCUUCCUCUUUUAACUCCAGUUCCUUGAGGGUAGGGACAUUAUUUCACACCAUCCUAAUAACUUCUUCCUUUCCUUGAUAGUGUCCAACUCAGUGCCAAACAUCCAGCAAUUAACUAAAUAUUUCCAUACGGUUUAAAACAUAACUCUAGAAGCCUUUUGAAAAAUGUCAGUAACUUGCGAGUUUACAUUUUAGGCCAUAAUCAGUUGACCCCUUAAUUGGAAAUGAGCACUUUCUCUGGGUAACUUGUAUAUUCAUGUGGGAGGGCAGCAUAUAUAGGGCUAUGGGGAAGGAUGGAGAAUGGUUUUCACUUACUUCAUACUGUCGCCUCUAUUUACCCCAGUCUUUGAGAGCAGAUAUAGUGGAUCAAUCCAAGGAAGCAGACAUCUCACUAGGUAUUUCAACAUAGAGAAUUUAGCCUAAGAAACUGGUUAAGACAGAAAACUGAAAAAAUGGAAAGGGGACACUAGAUUAUCACAGAGAUAAGUAACUGCAGGAAACAAUCCCACCCAAGUGAUGUGGUUUGAAGUCAAUGGUCAGCAAAGAGUUCUUGAGAUGGUUUUGGUACAAAAAGGUGUUUUUAUUAAAGCACGGGGACAGGACCCAUGGGCAGGAAGCUGCAUUGGGGUCAUGAGGAGCAAUUGAUUAUACACUUUGGAGUUGGAGAAAGUAAAGACAAAGGAAGUUUCCAAAAGGAUUUUCAGAAGCUAAAGAAGACUUAUAGGAUCCUGGAGGCCUAGCUAUUAUCAAGCUAAGGUUGUUUUUCCGUCUAGCAAAGCAUUGAUAUUAAGACAGUUGGGAGUUCUCAAAGAAUGUUAUACUCUGCCUGCCUCAAGUAUUUGUUAAUUCCAGCAGGUGGUAAGGAAAUUUAAUUUUAUCUGCAUUUCUUUUGCCUUUGUUCUCCACAUCAUUAGCCCUGGGUGAACCAACUGGAAGAGGUUUGGGUGAUGAGAACCUAGAAGCCAGGAGGAGAGGUCCCACAGAACUGUACUCAGAUCUCUGAGGAGGGCAAGUUCUGUUCAGACAGUCAAGUGGAUCUUCCAGAUGGUUGCCUGGUCUAAGGUGGAGAUUUUGAAAAUGCACAAUUCUUCUUUAUUCCUCUUCCUGUGAUCAUUCCCAUUUGGUUUGCUGGCUAGACCAGAAAACUACUUUCUGUACUGCGAAGACAUCUCACGAUACAAACUAUUUUCAGAAAGUGCGGAUGUCAGAUGUCUGACCAAACUCCAGGGAAGGAAGAAGAGGCUGUCCUUUUGUGUCACAGCAUUUUUGCUGAACACAAGUGCCACGUGGAUGACAGGUUGGAGGUGAGGAUGCGUUGAGAGGUGGAUGAGGGCUGAGGGCAGUGAAGGGGACACAAAAACCUUUAUAGGUUGGGAGUCACCCUCAGUGUCUCCUUCCCGCCACUCACUCUCCACAUCCAACGCGCCACUUAGCCUGGCCAACUAAAACUCAAACCCACCAGCCUUCUCCACCCCACCAGCCACCGUUGGCUUCCUGGAGCCUUGCACUAGCCAUCCAGGGGUCUUCCCUCUUAUUCUGGCCCACCUUGAAUCCAUCCCCUAUGCUGCAGCCAA
Acinonyx jubatus (cheetah) is the source of this 6143-nucleotide long non-coding RNA. RefSeq lists it as uncharacterized. The record is from RefSeq and is a predicted model, not a curated record. The transcript has 9 exons. Lineage: Eukaryota; Metazoa; Chordata; Mammalia; Carnivora; Felidae.